ACUACACAUUGACCAUCGCGUUACUACGCCAUUCUUGAGAGACGAGAAUUGAAAAGAGGUGGGCGUGGGGGGAGGUAGCAGGCGGGUUUGACCGGUGGGAGGGGGCUUUGACCGUUCUUUGACCGAAGUGGGAGGUGGGUUUUGGGCCCUAGGGAGGGGGAGGUGGGUUGGCCCAUGAGAGACCUCCCCCCACACCCACCCCUUUUUGGUUUGUGUCGCAGGAACAUUGUAGUAACGUGAUGGUCAAUGUGUAGUA
Molecule: non-coding RNA, 256 nt
Filed under: Oryza sativa (Asian cultivated rice)
Lineage: Eukaryota; Viridiplantae; Streptophyta; Magnoliopsida; Poales; Poaceae
Also listed under: 2 other names
Source: miRBase by way of RNAcentral